CGCUGGCGGCGUGCCUAACACAUGCAAGUCGAACGAAGCUCCUGCGUUGAUUCUUCGGAUGAAACAAGGGAAGACUUAGUGGCGGACGGGUGAGUAACGCGUGAGCAACCUGCCUUUCAGAGGGGGAUAACAGUUGGAAACGACUGCUAAUACCGCAUAACGUAUUGAUGUCGCAUGGCAUUGAUACCAAAGCUGAGGCGCUGAGAGAUGGGCUCGCGUCCGAUUAGAUAGUUGGUGGGGUAACGGCCUACCAAGUCGACGAUCGGUAGCCGGACUGAGAGGUUGAACGGCCACAUUGGGACUGAGACACGGCCCAGACUCCUACGGGAGGCAGCAGUGGGGGAUAUUGCACAAUGGGCGAAAGCCUGAAUGCAGCAACGCCGCGUGAGGGAAGACGGUUUUCGGAUUGUAAACCUCUGUCUUUGGUGAAGAAGGAAGUGACGGUAGCCAAGGAGGAAGCCACGGCUAACUACGUGCCAGCCGCCGC
RNAcentral lists this ribosomal RNA (487 nucleotides) under uncultured bacterium. RNAcentral describes it as "bacterial SSU rRNA". It matches the Rfam family "Bacterial small subunit ribosomal RNA", at positions 34 to 518 of the family's 1533-position model. The record is from RNAcentral.